CUCCCCGUCCCCAUUUCUCCGGACGCCUGGGACGCAGAUGCCGCCGAAGCCAUCGUGUGCGCGUCGGGGACGCAGCAUCCGCUGCCUCCAUUCCUCUGCGUGGCCUCCGAUGCACAUCCUUAAUUUCUCCAAGUAGGAACCACUAUGUAAAAAAUCUCAAACCCUUCGUUUUCUGCUGCCGCCGCCAUUGGAGGUGCUGUGCCACUAGGACGAUGAGGUAUACGAGGUAUGAGCUCGAGGCGCUCUCAGCGGGGCGCCGUCGUGGGAAGCGCAGGCGAUGCGGUGGGCCGAGGUGCACUCCGCGCUCCCCGCCGCCGGCUUCUCCGGGGAGUACUAGUGCUGCUCGCCACCGACACGCCGGUGAGUGGGAGGAAGGCUUCCCGCGGUGGGAUGAAGAGCCCCGAAGCGGCAACGCCCCAGUUCCAAUUGAGUAAAUCCCAGCCGUGGAGCACCGACAUUUACGAUUGAUGGCACUGGAACGAUGCUCAGGCUAAACUUGAAAAUAAGGAGGGCUCGGCUAUUUCCAUGUUUUUGUGUGGGCCAGCAAUGCUGCUUAAUUGUUCUUUUUUGACGCUUCUGUUUAAUUGUUCCUGGAUGAUGGAUGGUGAAAUUUUGUUUUAAUAAGUAGUUCUUGUGCUAAUUGAUUCUUCUAUUUAGCGUGAUAGCAUAUUUUGUUGCAAGUGUAAAAUCUGGGGAGAUGUGAGGAUGAUUUCUUGGCAGUGGUUGCUGUGAUAUUUGGCAAGAAAUAUUGAAGCCAAGAUGUAUCGGUUUUCAGUGUAAAUGAAUGGUGUCAUUGGAGAAUUUAAGCUGAAUGUCUGGUUAGAACUACUUAUCUGGACGUACAUUAUCUGCAUCCUUGGUCACUUUUAUAUAAAAUCGUUGAUCUCUUACUCUGGAAAUUGAACGAAAGUUUGAGCCUUUAGCCAUCUAAAAGGCUGAAACUGGCUCUGAAGCCUCAAAACUUAGUUCAUAUAAAUAUCUGCCAAGAGUAGAGAUGAUUUAUAUACCUCAAUUUUCAACCUGUUAGUCCUUUCACCUUGCUAUCCGAAAUGUGUGAUCUUGAUGCUAAUUCUAUGCAGGUGGAUAACUACCAAAAGUCAAGGUGAGACCCUGGCCUAAAAGGGGAAAUCGCUAUGUAGUCAGCUCUAGAACAAGGAGAACUACCAAAAGUCAAGGGGAGACCCUGGCUUAAAAAGGGGAAAUCGCUCUGUAGUCAGCUCCAGAACAAGGUGACUGUGGUGCUAUUUGGACAAAGAGAUUGUAUGCAUUCAUCUAUCUGAGCUUAUUUUUGGGAGUAACUGAAAUAGAAGAACAAUUUCUAGACGGCACAGGGAGUUAAUUCAUGCCUGAGGUUGGUAAACCCUAUAUCUAUUGCGGGGUGGUUUGAGGAAGGGACAGCAUGUUACCCACGAAGAUUUUGGCGGUGGAUGAUGCAUGCUAUAGUUACUUAUAGAGUUACCACACCAUUUCCAAUGCUCUAUUUCUAUCUUUCUUUCUCCUACUAGCAAAUUUUAUACAACAUUUCUAGGGAAUUAUAUAUUGCAUUACUUGAUCCUUGUACCAAUCCUAUGUAAUUUGCUCCAAUUAGUUCACGUAACUUCACUUUAUGGAACA
Triticum dicoccoides is the source of this 1614-nucleotide long non-coding RNA. RefSeq lists it as uncharacterized. The transcript is spliced from 5 exons. NCBI's taxonomy places the organism in Eukaryota, Viridiplantae, Streptophyta, Magnoliopsida, Poales, Poaceae. The record is from RefSeq and is a predicted model, not a curated record.